Molecule: ribosomal RNA, 529 nt
Filed under: uncultured bacterium
Lineage: Bacteria
Description: bacterial SSU rRNA
Rfam family: Bacterial small subunit ribosomal RNA
Source: RNAcentral
GAGUUUGAUCCUGGCUCAGGACGAACGCUGGCGGCGUGCUUAACACAUGCAAGUCGAGCGAUGAAGCUUCUUCGGAAGUGGAUUAGCGGCGGACGGGUGAGUAACACGUGGGUAACCUGCCUCAUAGAGGGGAAUAGCCUUUCGAAAGGAAGAUUAAUACCGCAUAAGAUUGUAGUACCGCAUGGUACAGCAAUUAAAGGAGUAAUCCGCUAUGAGAUGGACCCGCGUCGCAUUAGCUAGUUGGUGAGGUAACGGCUCACCAAGGCGACGAUGCGUAGCCGACCUGAGAGGGUGAUCGGCCACAUUGGGACUGAGACACGGCCCAGACUCCUACGGGAGGCAGCAGUGGGGAAUAUUGCACAAUGGGGGAAACCCUGAUGCAGCAACGCCGCGUGAGUGAUGACGGUCUUCGGAUUGUAAAGCUCUGUCUUUAGGGACGAUAAUGACGGUACCUAAGGAGGAAGCCACGGCUAACUACGUGCCAGCAGCCGCGGUAAUACGUAGGUGGCAAGCGUUGUCCGGAUUUACU